RNAcentral lists this long non-coding RNA (532 nucleotides) under Calidris pygmaea (Spoon-billed sandpiper). Its description in RNAcentral is "lncRNA (ENSCPGG00000013724.1)". Lineage: Eukaryota; Metazoa; Chordata; Aves; Charadriiformes; Scolopacidae. The record is from RNAcentral.
UCCCAGGGGAUGGCAGGUCUGAAGGGUGCGAUGGGCUUCCAGGGCCCCGUGGGGCCGGAGGGAGAAGGUGGCUCAGUGGGUCCCCCAGGACCUGUCGGUCCCAUGGGAGAGCCAGGCCAGCCGGGAUCCGUUGGAUGCCAAGGUGUCAAUGGCUCUCAGGGAGAAAUGGGUCCUCCUGGUUUGCCUGGUCCCCAGGGCCCCAAGGGACCACAGGGCUUGCAGGGGAGACGUGGCCCCCCCGGUCCCAGAGGCACCCAGGGUCCAGCUGGGAUGGAGGGAUCCGCUGGUCCCAAAGGAGACACCGGCACAGACGGUGUCCCCGGGCCGAGGGGACAGCUGGGCCAGGAGGGCCCUGGGGUAAGUCCAUGGGAGCAGGUGGCUGGGUGAGGGAUGCCCUCGUCCUUCCCCCUCGCAGCACCCAAAGCACCACGGAGGAAUGCCCUGCUCCCCCCUGCUAUCCCCAGCCCCCCACAAAGUUUGUGGCACAAGUGCUGGUGCAGAUGAUGGCCACGUCCCUCUGGCCACGCUCAUC